RNAcentral lists this ribosomal RNA (465 nucleotides) under uncultured Anaerolineae bacterium. Its description in RNAcentral is "bacterial SSU rRNA". It matches the Rfam family "Bacterial small subunit ribosomal RNA", at positions 28 to 505 of the family's 1533-position model. Lineage: Bacteria; Bacillati; Chloroflexota; Anaerolineae. The record is from RNAcentral.
GAUGAACGCUAGCGGCGUGCUUAAUGCAUGCAAGUCGAACGAGAAGUCAUUAAACUUCGGUUUAGUGAUGGAAAGUGGCGAACGGGUGAGUAACACGUUGGUGACCUGCCUCGAAGAGGGGGACAACCACUAGAAAUGGUGGCUAAUACCCCAGAUGUUUGCCUUUUUAGAAACGGUAAACUAAAGCUCCGGCGCUUCGAGAGGGGCCUGCGUCCCAUCAGCUUGUUGGUAAGGUAAUGGCUUACCAAGGCUCAGACGGGUAGGGGACGUGAGAGCGUGAUCCCCCACAAUGGUACUGACACACGGACCAUAUACCUACGGGUAGCAGCAGCAAGGAAUAUUGCGCAAUGGGCGAAAGCCUGACGCAGCAACGCCGCGUGAAGGACGAAGGUCUUCGGAUUGUAAACUUCUUUUAUGAGGGAAUAGAAAGGAAGGUACCUCAUGAAUAAGCUCCGGCUAACUACG